RNAcentral lists this ribosomal RNA (492 nucleotides) under uncultured bacterium. Its description in RNAcentral is "partial 16S ribosomal RNA". It matches the Rfam family "Bacterial small subunit ribosomal RNA", at positions 29 to 507 of the family's 1533-position model. The record is from RNAcentral.
AGUGAACGCUGGCGGUAGGCCUAACACAUGCAAGUCGAACGGCAGCACAGUAAGAGCUUGCUCUUACGGGUGGCGAGUGUCGGACGGGUGAGGAUUACAUCGGAAUCUACUUUUUCGUGGGGGAUAACGUAGGGACACUUACGCUAAUACCUCAUACGACCUACUGGUGAAAGCAGGGUAUCUUCGGACCUUGCGCGAUUGAAUGAGCCGAUGUCGGAUUAGCUAGUUGGCGGGGUAAAGGCCCACCAAGGCGACGAUCCGUAGCUGGUCUGAGAGGAUGAUCAGCCACACUGGAACUGAGACACGGUCCAGACUCAUACGGGAGGCAGCAGUGGGGAAUAUUGGACAAUGGGAGCAAGCCUGAUCCAGACAUACCGAGUGGGUGAAGAAGGCGUUCGGGUUGUAAAGCCCUUUUGUUGGGAAAGAAAAGCAGCAGGUUAAUACCCCGCUGUUCUGACGGUACCCAAAGAAUAAGCACCGGCUAACUUCGUG